This 2903-nucleotide ribosomal RNA is filed under the name Enterobacter cloacae. RNAcentral's name for it is "bacterial LSU rRNA". It matches the Rfam family "Bacterial large subunit ribosomal RNA". RNAcentral also lists the same sequence under 1 other name. Lineage: Bacteria; Pseudomonadati; Pseudomonadota; Gammaproteobacteria; Enterobacterales; Enterobacteriaceae. The record is from RNAcentral.
UUAAGCGACUAAGCGUACACGGUGGAUGCCCUGGCAGUCAGAGGCGAUGAAGGACGUGCUAAUCUGCGAAAAGCGCCGGCGAGGUGAUAUGAACCCUUGACCCGGCGAUGUCCGAAUGGGGAAACCCAGUGCAAUCCGUUGCACUAUCGUUAACUGAAUACAUAGGUUAACGAGGCGAACCGGGGGAACUGAAACAUCUAAGUACCCCGAGGAAAAGAAAUCAACCGAGAUUCCCCCAGUAGCGGCGAGCGAACGGGGAGCAGCCCGGAGUCUGAAUCAGCUUGUGUGUUAGUGGAACGGUCUGGAAAGUCCGACGGUACAGGGUGAUAGUCCCGUACACGAAAGCACACAUGCUGUGAACUCGAAGAGUAGGGCGGGACACGUGGUAUCCUGUCUGAAUAUGGGGGGACCAUCCUCCAAGGCUAAAUACUCCUGACUGACCGAUAGUGAACCAGUACCGUGAGGGAAAGGCGAAAAGAACCCCGGCGAGGGGAGUGAAAAAGAACCUGAAACCGUGUACGUACAAGCAGUGGGAGCCUCUUUAUGGGGUGACUGCGUACCUUUUGUAUAAUGGGUCAGCGACUUAUAUUCUGUAGCAAGGUUAACCGUAUAGGGGAGCCGAAGGGAAACCGAGUCUUAACUGGGCGUUAAGUUGCAGGGUAUAGACCCGAAACCCGGUGAUCUAGCCAUGGGCAGGUUGAAGGUUGGGUAACACUAACUGGAGGACCGAACCGACUAAUGUUGAAAAAUUAGCGGAUGACCUGUGGCUGGGGGUGAAAGGCCAAUCAAACCGGGAGAUAGCUGGUUCUCCCCGAAAGCUAUUUAGGUAGCGCCUCGUGAAUUCAUCUUCGGGGGUAGAGCACUGUUUCGGCUAGGGGGCCAUCCCGGCUUACCAACCCGAUGCAAACUACGAAUACCGAAGAAUGUUAUCACGGGAGACACACGGCGGGUGCUAACGUCCGUCGUGAAGAGGGAAACAACCCAGACCGCCAGCUAAGGUCCCAAAGUCAUGGUUAAGUGGGAAACGAUGUGGGAAGGCACAGACAGCCAGGAUGUUGGCUUAGAAGCAGCCAUCAUUUAAAGAAAGCGUAAUAGCUCACUGGUCGAGUCGGCCUGCGCGGAAGAUGUAACGGGGCUAAACCAUGCACCGAAGCUGCGGCAGCGACGCUUAUGCGUUGUUGGGUAGGGGAGCGUUCUGUAAGCCGUUGAAGGUGUGCUGUGAGGCAUGCUGGAGGUAUCAGAAGUGCGAAUGCUGACAUAAGUAACGAUAAAGCGGGUGAAAAGCCCGCUCGCCGGAAGACCAAGGGUUCCUGUCCAACGUUAAUCGGGGCAGGGUGAGUCGACCCCUAAGGCGAGGCCGAAAGGCGUAGUCGAUGGGAAACAGGUUAAUAUUCCUGUACUUGGUGUUACUGCGAAGGGGGGACGGAGAAGGCUAUGUCAGCCGGGCGACGGUUGUCCCGGUUUAAGCAUGUAGGCGGAGGUUCCAGGUAAAUCCGGUACCUUUUAACGCUGAGGUGUGAUGACGAGGCACUACGGUGCUGAAGUGAUAAAUGCCCUGCUUCCAGGAAAAGCCUCUAAGCAUCAGGUAACACGAAAUCGUACCCCAAACCGACACAGGUGGUCAGGUAGAGAAUACCAAGGCGCUUGAGAGAACUCGGGUGAAGGAACUAGGCAAAAUGGUGCCGUAACUUCGGGAGAAGGCACGCUGAUGUGUAGGUGAAGCCCCUGCGGGCGGAGCUGAAAUCAGUCGAAGAUACCAGCUGGCUGCAACUGUUUAUUAAAAACACAGCACUGUGCAAACACGAAAGUGGACGUAUACGGUGUGACGCCUGCCCGGUGCCGGAAGGUUAAUUGAUGGGGUUAGCGGCAACGCGAAGCUCUUGAUCGAAGCCCCGGUAAACGGCGGCCGUAACUAUAACGGUCCUAAGGUAGCGAAAUUCCUUGUCGGGUAAGUUCCGACCUGCACGAAUGGCGUAAUGAUGGCCAGGCUGUCUCCACCCGAGACUCAGUGAAAUUGAACUCGCUGUGAAGAUGCAGUGUACCCGCGGCAAGACGGAAAGACCCCGUGAACCUUUACUAUAGCUUGACACUGAACACUGGUCCUUGAUGUGUAGGAUAGGUGGGAGGCUUUGAAGCGUGGACGCCAGUCUGCGUGGAGCCAACCUUGAAAUACCACCCUUUAAUGGCUGGUGUUCUAACGUAGACCCGUAAUCCGGGUUGCGGACAGUGUCUGGUGGGUAGUUUGACUGGGGCGGUCUCCUCCCAAAGAGUAACGGAGGAGCACGAAGGUUGGCUAAUCCUGGUCGGACAUCAGGAGGUUAGUGCAAUGGCAUAAGCCAGCUUGACUGCGAGCGUGACGGCGCGAGCAGGUGCGAAAGCAGGUCAUAGUGAUCCGGUGGUUCUGAAUGGAAGGGCCAUCGCUCAACGGAUAAAAGGUACUCCGGGGAUAACAGGCUGAUACCGCCCAAGAGUUCAUAUCGACGGCGGUGUUUGGCACCUCGAUGUCGGCUCAUCACAUCCUGGGGCUGAAGUAGGUCCCAAGGGUAUGGCUGUUCGCCAUUUAAAGUGGUACGCGAGCUGGGUUUAGAACGUCGUGAGACAGUUCGGUCCCUAUCUGCCGUGGGCGCUGGAGAAUUGAGGGGAGCUGCUCCUAGUACGAGAGGACCGGAGUGGACGCAUCACUGGUGUUCGGGUUGUCAUGCCAAUGGCACUGCCCGGUAGCUAAAUGCGGAAGAGAUAAGUGCUGAAAGCAUCUAAGCACGAAACUUGCCCCGAGAUGAGUUCUCCCUGAGACCUUGAGUCUCCUGAAGGAACGUUAAAGACUAUGACGUUGAUAGGUCGGGUGUGUAAGCGCAGCGAUGCGUUGAGCUAACCGAUACUAAUGAACCGUGAGGCUUAACCUU